RNAcentral lists this long non-coding RNA (703 nucleotides) under Homo sapiens (human). RNAcentral describes it as "HSALNT0402122". The record is from RNAcentral. Lineage: Eukaryota; Metazoa; Chordata; Mammalia; Primates; Hominidae.
GCCGAGGCCCGGCGCCGUAUCCUGCCGCCCGUUUUACCCGCGGAGACGCCGAGGCCCGAUGCCGUAUCCUGCCGCCCGUUUUACCCGCGGGAAAGCCGAGGCCCGGUGCUGUAUUCUGCCGCCCAUUUUACCCGCGGGGAAGCUGAGGCCCAGUGCUGUUUAAUAUCUUACUCAUGUUCACUUGAUGAGAAAGUGACAGAUCUGAGACAAACCCAGUUCUAGAGGUUAUGACACCAGCCAUGGAAGAGCAGAGAGGCCAAUGAGGUGGGGAGGUUGGAAACAAAAGGCCUUCUCCACCCCAGCUUGACCAACCCAAAAGCUGGAAGGCAAGGAAGACCUAGAUCGACAGAAAAGAAAUGAGUCAACGAUGGUGCAGAAAGGGACCAGCUUGACGAAGCUUCUGCUUUUGUGACUGUCUCCUAAUGAAACCAGAGCACCUCAGAAGAUCAAGGCUUCCAAAUUCUCCUGGGGGAACAGACGUCAGCCAUUCAGCACAAAGGAAACUUCCUUCUCUGUAUGUCAGAGGAAGACAUAAUUGUGCCAUUUCCUUCUUGAAGAAGUUUACAAACAUUUGCAAGUUGUCAAAAAUAAUUAGUCUAAAAUUGUUUCAUAAACCGUGGAAUGAAACAGGACGUGCCUUGUUGAGAUCAAAGGGCUUCUGUUACCUUCUUGUAAACUCAAAUGAAAUUCUUUUGAAAGUAAA